GAUGAACGCUGGCGGCGUGCUUAACACAUGCAAGUCGAACGAGAACGCACCCUUCGGGGUGUUAUUAGAGUGGCGAACGGGUGAGUAACACGUGAAUAACCUGCCUUGUACUUUGGGAUAACUAUUGGAAACGAUAGCUAAUACCGAAUACUCCGCUUGGGGCUCCUGCUCUGAGCGGGAAAGAUUUUUCGGUACAAGAUGGAUUCGCGGCCCAUUAGCUUGUUGGCGGGGUAAUGGCCCACCAAGGCAACGAUGGGUAGCCGGGUUGAGAGACUGAUCGGCCACAUUGGGACUGAGAUACGGCCCAGACUCCUACGGGAGGCAGCAGUGGGGAAUUUUGCGCAAUGGGCGAAAGCCUGACGCAGCAACGCCGCGUGCGGGAUGACGGCCUUCGGGUUGUAAACCGCUUUCAGUGGAGAAGAAUUUUUGACGGUACCCACAGAAGAAGC
This 449-nucleotide ribosomal RNA is filed under the name uncultured Actinomycetes bacterium. Its description in RNAcentral is "bacterial SSU rRNA". It matches the Rfam family "Bacterial small subunit ribosomal RNA", at positions 28 to 491 of the family's 1533-position model. Lineage: Bacteria; Bacillati; Actinomycetota; Actinomycetes. The record is from RNAcentral.